UACGGGGGGGAGCAAGCGUUGUUCGGAUUUACUGGGCGUAAAGGGCGCGUAGGCGGUCGUGACAAGUCACUUGUGAAAUCUCCGGGCUUAACCCGGAGCGGCCAAGUGAUACUGUCGUGCUAGAGUGCGGAAGGGGCUACUGGAAUUCUCGGUGUAGCGGUGAAAUGCGUAGAUAUCGAGAGGAACACCUGCGGCGAAGGCGGGUAGCUGGGCUGAUACUGACGCUGAGGCGCGAAAGCCAGGGGAGCGAACGGG
Molecule: ribosomal RNA, 255 nt
Filed under: uncultured bacterium
Lineage: Bacteria
Description: partial 16S ribosomal RNA
Rfam family: Bacterial small subunit ribosomal RNA
Source: RNAcentral